GACAGAGGGGGCAAGCGUUGCUCGGAAUUACUGGGCGUAAAGAGCUCGUAGGCGGUCUGUCGCGUCGGAUGUGAAGACCCAGGGCUCAACCCUGGGCCUGCAUUCGAUACGGGCAGACUAGAGUUCGGUAGGGGAGACUGGAAUUCCUGGUGUAGCGGUGAAAUGCGCAGAUAUCAGGAGGAACACCGGUGGCGAAGGCGGGUCUCUGGGCCGAAACUGACGCUGAGGAGCGAAAGCGUGGGGAGCAAACAGG
This 253-nucleotide ribosomal RNA is filed under the name uncultured bacterium. RNAcentral describes it as "partial 16S ribosomal RNA". It matches the Rfam family "Bacterial small subunit ribosomal RNA", at positions 524 to 776 of the family's 1533-position model. The record is from RNAcentral.